RNAcentral lists this ribosomal RNA (331 nucleotides) under uncultured bacterium. RNAcentral's name for it is "bacterial SSU rRNA". It matches the Rfam family "Bacterial small subunit ribosomal RNA", at positions 97 to 428 of the family's 1533-position model. The record is from RNAcentral.
GGCGGACGGGUGAGUAACGCGUGAGUAACCUGCCUCUAAGAGGGGAAUAACAUUCUGAAAAGAAUGCUAAUACCGCAUAACAUAUAUUUAUCGCAUGGUAGAUAUAUCAAAGAUUUAUCGCUUAGAGAUGGACUCGCGUCCGAUUAGUUAGUUGGUGAGGUAACGGCUCACCAAGACCGCGAUCGGUAGCCGGACUGAGAGGUUGAACGGCCACAUUGGGACUGAGACACGGCCCAGACUCCUACGGGAGGCAGCAGUGGGGGAUAUUGCGCAAUGGGGGAAACCCUGACGCAGCAACGCCGCGUGAAGGAUGAAGGUCUUCGGAUUGUAA